Molecule: long non-coding RNA, 713 nt
Filed under: Lupinus angustifolius (narrow-leaved blue lupine)
Lineage: Eukaryota; Viridiplantae; Streptophyta; Magnoliopsida; Fabales; Fabaceae
Description: long non-coding RNA (LANG_LNC001332)
Source: RNAcentral
GGGUUUUCAACUUUCAAGUUUCAACCAAUACAUACUCUAUAGUGUAAGCAGAACAAAAGAAGAAAAGGUUUGGGUAUUUGAUUUACAUACAAAGAUGAAUACUGAAUCAACAAGAGCUUCAAAGAAGAAGGUACCAUGCAGAAGACUUGGAGGGUAUCUUAAAGAGCAGAAAGGAAGACUAUACAUAAUCAGAAGAUGUGUAGUUAUGCUUCUAUGCUGGCAUGAAUGAGUCAUUUCCAACUAGUAUAGUCAAGGUUUUAAAUUGUCGUUAUAUUUGUUGUUGUAUGCGGUCUAUUAAGAGAAAAUGUGGUCGAUAUAUUCACAAUUGCGACGAGUUCUAGAUAUUACGGAAACAUUUGUGGUGACAGUCGUGCACCUAGAUUUAAAACCUGAUGUAAUUUUAAAUUUCAUUUUGUUUUUGCUCAAAUGGUGGGUGGGUCAAUUCAAGAGAACAUUGAGCAAGACCAUCAUUAGUAGUUAAGGAUCCAAGUUCAAGCAUGCACAAAAAGUGCGUAUGGUUUUGCUCUUUGUUGCUCCCUAUGUAAAUGGCAAAGAAAGAAGUUAAGACAAUUUUCCUUCAUGUCAUGUCUCAAUGCAUGUUUUCUACAUGCAGAAGCUUAGUAGUUAAAUUUUCAGUUUCUAUUGUGUACCUGGAAUAUACUUGUUUUUGUUGAAAACAAAAGCUUUUAUUCACACAUGAAGUAUACUUAGAU